Molecule: ribosomal RNA, 191 nt
Filed under: uncultured archaeon
Lineage: Archaea
Description: partial 16S ribosomal RNA
Rfam family: Archaeal small subunit ribosomal RNA
Source: RNAcentral
GACCGCCGCGUGCUUAAAUCGGAGGAAGGUGCGGGCCACGGUAGGUCAGUAUGCCCCGAAUUUCCCGGGCUACACGCGGGCUACAAUGAAUGGGACAAUGGGUCCCUCCCCUGAAAAGGGCUGGUAAUCUCACAAACCCAUCCGUAGUUCGGAUCGAGGGCUGUAACUCGCCCUCGUGAAGCUGGAAUCCG